UCUGCGUUUCAUUAGCCUAGUUAGUGGGGUAACGGCCUACCAAGGCAACGAUGGGUAGCCGAUCUGAGAGGAUGAUCGGCCACACUGCCAACUGAAACACGGUCCAGACUCCUACGGGAGGCAGCAGUGGGGAAUAUUGCGCAAUGGGCGAAAGCAUAACGCAGCGACGCCGCGUGAGGGAUGAAGGUCUUCGGAUCGUAAACCUCUGUCAGAAGGGAAGAAACUAGGGUGCUCUAAUCAUCACCCUACUGACGGUACCUUCAAAGGAAGCACAGGACUAACUCCGUGCCAGCAGACGCGCUAAUACGGAGAGUGCAAGCGUUAAUCGGAAAUCACUGCGCGUAAAGCGCACGUAAGCUGUUAUGUAAGUCAGGGGAGAAAUCCCACGGCUCAACCGUGAAACUGCCCUUGAUACUGCACGACUUGAAUCCGAGAGAGGGUGGCGGAAUUCCAGGUGUAGCGAAUGAAAUCUCGUAGAUAUCUGGAGGAACAUCAGUGGCGAAGGCGGCCACCUGGCACCGGUAUUGACGCUAAGGUGCGAAAGCUGUAGGGAGCAAACAGGAAUAAGAUACCAUGGUAGUCCACGCCGUAAACGAUAAAAGCU
This 604-nucleotide ribosomal RNA is filed under the name uncultured Desulfovibrio sp. RNAcentral's name for it is "bacterial SSU rRNA". It matches the Rfam family "Bacterial small subunit ribosomal RNA", at positions 230 to 817 of the family's 1533-position model. The record is from RNAcentral. Lineage: Bacteria; Pseudomonadati; Thermodesulfobacteriota; Desulfovibrionia; Desulfovibrionales; Desulfovibrionaceae.